Molecule: long non-coding RNA, 1419 nt
Filed under: Sinocyclocheilus grahami
Lineage: Eukaryota; Metazoa; Chordata; Actinopteri; Cypriniformes; Cyprinidae
Description: lncRNA (ENSSGRG00000033893.1)
Source: RNAcentral
UGCAGUUCCACUCAAUUUAUGGUUUACUUGUAUAUUUAUAACAUUUUAACUGCACUAUUUAACUAUAUAUAAUGAGAAGCCACUGAAAACUGGUAAUUUUAGGAUGGUAUCAACAUUCAAUUUGGGCUCAUAAACGCACCUUGCGGCUAAAUUCACUUUGAAACUUUCGUUAUUUGAAGGUAUAGCAACAUGAAAGAUUACAUUACGAUUACUUUAGUUUAACUUCAGAUUAGCCACACGAUUUUUAACAAACCAAUGUCUGGCAUAACAAAAGGUGUAAUAAAAUGUGUACAUCAUAAUAACAGGCUGUAUGGUGUCGAGGGACAGUUUCAGGUUUUCAUUGGUGUCUAGAUGCGCACCAGUCAUCCUCAUGCAAACCCAGCAGAGGUCGUCUUCCUCUCGUGCAUCAGUCCUUGUAAGAACGCGCCUCAUCGCCAGUUCGCCUGCAUAGCAUACGCUGGCUCGGAGACGCGAUAUUUUUUCCCAGUCAAAAGCAGCCGGUUCUCCGUCGCAGCAUCGCUGAUAUAACAGCGGGCUUCUAGGAUCGCCGCUGCUGGAUUCCUACGCUGGAGAUGCGUUCGCUGAAGCGCGCGUGAUUGAUGUGGUGGUCACGGAUGCUUCUGAAUGCGCUUUGCAGACGUCUCGCCUUUAAAGUUUCAAUGCUGAGCAUAGAGCUGAAAAACAGUGGAGAGAAGACCUCAGUUUAAGGAACUGGAAAGGAUAGAUCAAAUGUCUUUUUCGGGACCUUUCGGCCUAUUGCUGAAUUUAUCUCUAGCCAGAUGGCCCCAAGAAAUACGCGUAACAGUUUCUACAUUUUGGGCUCCGGUAGCGGGAAUGGCAACGCUGGAACCCAAGGCAUGUCGGAAUGGAUAGGCUUGUCCUUGAGCCGAAAAUGUGUCGACUUGAACGGAGUGUGGACCAGGUGUCUGAUAUCUGUUGGAAUUACAUUGCUUCUGGUGCCGUCCAUAUUUGCCAUAGACGAUGAAGCAAGACUCGAGGCAUCAGGACAACCCCUCAGUCCUUCCCAGGUUCCAACCGGAGCCCCAAGCAUCACAGUCUCUUCAUCGCUGCUGGAGGACGAAGACUUCGCCUCGCAGUUCCACUCCCCAGCAGCGAGGGCAGAAAGCACAAGGGAGCAGCCUGUGUUCGCCUCAGUGCAGACCAUGCAGGUUGCAGAGACACAGCCUCAGGCGCUGGUGCAUUCUCUGCCCUCCCCACCCGGCAACAGUGACAAUCGCACCAAUCAAAAGUCCCCUGGGGAGCUGGCCGUCAGAGUGCCAAAUCCACCAUCCCCGGCACAUAAAAUCAACAGUGUCUUGACCACUAGCUCAGGGACUUUGCUGAUUUGAUGUUGUCGUCAUCCUUUCUUCACCCUUUGUUCAUCAUCAUCAUCAUCAUCAUCACCAUCAUCACCAUCAU